Molecule: long non-coding RNA, 1099 nt
Organism: Caretta caretta (loggerhead turtle)
Lineage: Eukaryota; Metazoa; Chordata; Testudines; Cheloniidae
Source: RefSeq, a predicted model, not a curated record
CCAGCAUAGCUACAUCCUUCUGCCCCACUCCCGAAUGACCUUAACUAAGCCAUCCAUCAGAAUAGUUGCAUCAACACCAGAGGGAUUGCUGACAUGUCAGCUGGAGCCUUUCUCAUGAUUUUGGGGGCCUGACUCAUGAUGAUUGUGUAUUUGGAACUGGCAAUACUGUCAUCUCCAUGGCUAUUCAAGACUGGCCAAACCAGAUCCAAAGAACCCACACUUUGAGGACAUAGGCGUUGGAACCUGGACUUGGGCACAUCUGCCAUGCUAAGGCCAGAUUGUAUCUAUCUUCUCUGGGGUUCGAAGUGGCCAUCACUGAGAAAUUGGCGCACAUGGAGCUGGUCCAAAUGAACGGUACGUACUGGUGUGUGGCUGCCCAGAACCACUCCAUAGAGCUAAAUGGAAAGCCCGGCCCCUCGAGGCAUCCAUCCGUGUGCAUGACGGUUCCCCGAAGGGCACCCUGACUGUUGACGGGACGUGGCUCCACCGUACUCCGCCAAUGAUGGGUAACUUAACAUGGGAUCCGGAAUGGCACUAUGGCAGUAAGUAUCUAGAGGAGGGUCUACAGGCUCUGCAGGCGAAGAUCAAGGAGUUGGUGGCUGAGGCCCAGAGGCAUAUUGGGGAAGGCCAUCUGAUGUACACCCUGAUAGGGGAAACCGUGGACCAGGCCAAUGUGAAGUACUCAAAGGCGUGGAACCAGGCAGUGGAAGUUAAAGCGAUGAUCAUGGGCGAUGCCAUCUCAGAUAUGUAUCUGUUGGGCAGUCAAAGGAGCUACUUCAUUCCUAUGGAUCCCAAAUUGAAUUCAACAUAUAUUCUAUACUAAUACUUUAAUAAAUGUAUUAAUUAAAUGCUAAAUGUUAAUUUGUUAACAUUGAGACCAUGGGGAGAGACAUUAUGUAACCUUUUGACCAUUGGCUACUGUGCUAUCAUGUCUUGCAGCUAGACCUAUCCGGGGGUGUGGGACUGCCUACCCUGUCACUUUCCCCGCCCAUGGAAAAUCCAUAUAUUCCAUUGUAAUCAAUUAAUUGACAGUGUCUCUGAGCCUAAUAAGCAAGGUGACACUCUGUCAGCGCUGUACGUAAUAAACUCCUAUGCUUGA